CCUACGGGGGGCUGCAGUGGGGAAUAUUGGACAAUGGGGGCAACCCUGAUCCAGCCAUGCCGCGUGUGUGAAGAGGGCCCUCGGGUUGUAAAGCACUUUCAGUGAGGAAGAACGCCUGGUGGUUAAUACCCAUCAGGAAAGACAUCACUCACAGAAGAAGCACCGGCUAACUCCGUGCCAGCAGCCGCGGUAAUACGGAGGGUGCGAGCGUUAAUCGGAAUUACUGGGCGUAAAGCGCGCGUAGGUGGCUUGAUAAGCCGGUUGUGAAAGCCCCGGGCUCAACCUGGGAACGGCAUCCGGAACUGUCAAGCUAGAGUGCAGGAGAGGAAGGUAGAAUUCCCGGUGUAGCGGUGAAAUGCGUAGAGAUCGGGAGGAAUACCAGUGGCGAAGGCGGCCUUCUGGACUGACACUGACACUGAGGUGCGAAAGCGUGGGUAGCAAACAGGAUUAGAUACCCUUGUAGUC
RNAcentral lists this ribosomal RNA (465 nucleotides) under Vreelandella stevensii. RNAcentral describes it as "partial 16S ribosomal RNA". It matches the Rfam family "Bacterial small subunit ribosomal RNA", at positions 338 to 795 of the family's 1533-position model. Lineage: Bacteria; Pseudomonadati; Pseudomonadota; Gammaproteobacteria; Oceanospirillales; Halomonadaceae. The record is from RNAcentral.